This 958-nucleotide long non-coding RNA is filed under the name Oryctolagus cuniculus (rabbit). RNAcentral's name for it is "lncRNA (ENSOCUG00000032119.1)". The record is from RNAcentral. Lineage: Eukaryota; Metazoa; Chordata; Mammalia; Lagomorpha; Leporidae.
UACUCUAUGUAUCAAUGUUUAAAUAUAAACAUGUAAAUUCUAAGAGCUUUGUUAAAAAUUUAAAAAUUUUAUUGGUUGAGUGAAACUGAUGAGGUAUGGAAAAAGUCAAUAUGAUUUACUAAGAAUAUUUUCUGUAUUUGUAAAUUAACUAGGUCAGACCACAGCUAGUGAACAAUUUCAGCACCAAUAAGUUAUUCAAAAUGGGAUUUUAUACCAUUAAGAAAUACAAUGGCUAGAUAUUCAAAUGUCAAGGUCAAGGUAUAAUUUGAAAGACACCAAAUUCCUGGGGAAAAAAAUCCUUUUUCAUAGUUUUUUCUCAUUACCUUCACAAUAUUAGUUGCACUCUGCUUGAAAUCAUAUGCAGUCUGGGAAUAUCAAAUAAAUGAUGAUAUUUAAGAAAUUGAAGCCCUAGUCCCAACUCUAGCACUAUGAAAUGAUUCAACACUGCACAAUGAAUAAAAUUCCCUAACAGUUAAUGACAUUUAAAAAAUGUGCAAAACUGCAAAACUCAUUGUAAUAGAAUGUGUAAGGUCAAAAGGGUGGGACGGCUGACAGCUACUGGAUUGAAUAAGUGCAUCAUAAAUCUUUAAAGAAAAAAACCGCUUACUGUAGAAUCUCAAAUUGAAAUUUCCUGUGUAGCAUUACAAAAUAUUUUAUAUUUAAUGAGGAAAAAAAGAAGCUUGCAGGCAGCACUUGAAGCAUCCACAGCAGGUAUAUGAUUGAAAACUAAUAAAGUAUAAAUUGUUGACUGAUGUAGGUACUAAUAGCAUCUGACUUUUAGCACUGGCCUUGAUUACACAGGAGAUGGAGCAGUCAUUACAAUUGAGAAAACAUAUUUAAUAAAUCAUUGUCAAUUUCUAUAAUGUUUCAAGCCCGUUCUUUGUUGAUAGCCUCCACAUUUAUAUGGUUAAGUCAUUGUUGCUGUGUUUCGUUCAUUCCUGUACCCCAAAACAGAUUC